CACGUAGGGUGCGAGCGUUGUCCGGAAUUAUUGGGCGUAAAGAGCUCGUAGGCGGUGUGUCGCGUCGGCCGUGAAAACCUGCAGCUUAACUGUGGGCUUGCGGUCGAUACGGGCAUCACUGGAGUUCGGCAGGGGAGACUGGAAUUCCUGGUGUAGCGGCGAAAUGCGCAGAUAUCAGGAGGAACACCGGUGGCGAAGGCGGGUCUCUGGACCGAUACUGACGCUGAGGAGCGAAAGCGUGGGGAGCGAACAGG
Molecule: ribosomal RNA, 254 nt
Filed under: uncultured bacterium
Lineage: Bacteria
Description: partial 16S ribosomal RNA
Rfam family: Bacterial small subunit ribosomal RNA
Source: RNAcentral